This is a non-coding RNA of Nycticebus coucang (slow loris), 737 nucleotides long. The record is from the annotation of a RefSeq genome assembly. NCBI's taxonomy places the organism in Eukaryota, Metazoa, Chordata, Mammalia, Primates, Lorisidae.
CUCAGAGGCACUACAUUCAGAGUUUGAGGUAGCACAGAGCACAUCUGUGCAGGGGGAACACAAGCCACAUGCCGCUCUGCAGCCUGCUGUGGGUGUUCAUGGCCUUCAGCUACCCUGGAUCCAGUGUGGCUCAGAAAGUUACUCAAGCCCCUCCAGCAAUAUCCAUGACAGAAGGGGAGACAGUCACCAUGAACUGCUGGUUUGAAACAACAUGGACUACGUACUACAUUUACUGGUACAAGCAACUUCCCAGCAGAGAGAUCAUUUUCCUUCUUAGCCAGGGUUCUGCUGGUCAACAUGCAAAGAAAGGCCGCUAUUCCGUCAAUUUAGAGAAAGAAGCGAAAUCUAUCAACUUCACCAUUUCAGUUCUACAGCUGGAAGAUUCCUCAAAGUAUUUCUGUACUUUCACAGAACUCACGGUGUUUGAAGUGAUUGCAAAGGCAAAGCAAAAAGCCCAGGGCUCAGGUAAAGAGAGCACCCCUUGUGCUAGAGCCAGGCUGAAAUGCACACCUGCAGAUCCCAAGCAGGAAAUGGCAGUGACUGUGGUCUCUGGGCAUACUCUGUGGUCUGGAUCAGAAGAUUUAAUUUUAAGUAACUCUUUCUAUUUCACUUGGCAAUAGUUAUUCAGAGCAACUUUCUCCUCAUACUUAAAUUUUUGACUUAAAAUAGGCCAUACAAAAACUGUGUGAAGUUGUCUAAAGUUGAAAAAACUUGCCCCUCAACCAUUUAAAGUGGCA